This is a non-coding RNA of Pelobates cultripes (western spadefoot toad), 454 nucleotides long. The record is from the annotation of a GenBank genome assembly. NCBI's taxonomy places the organism in Eukaryota, Metazoa, Chordata, Amphibia, Anura, Pelobatidae.
UAUGCUCGGUCCCUGGGUGUGCUGUCUAGGUGACGGCUGCUCUGCUUUUGCACCCUGCUCUAGUAGAGGAGGUGGAUGUGGAGUAGGAGGUUGAGGAGGCGGUGACCGUGGAGGCGACGAUGCAUUUGGAUGUCUGCCCUAUCAACUUUCGAUGCCACUUUCUGCGCCUACCAUGGUGACCACGAGUAACGGGGAAUCAGGGUUCGAUUCCGGAGAGGGAGCCUGAGAAAUGGCUCCCACAUCCAAGGAAGGCAGCAGGAGCGCAAAUUACCCACUCCCGACGUGGGGAGGUAGUGUCGACAAAUAACAAUACAGGUCUCUUUCCAGCCCCUGUAAUUGGAAUGAGUACACUUUAAAUCCUUUAACAAGGAUCUAUUGGAGGGCAAGUCUGGUGCAGAGCGACUGACCCGUGCAUGCUGCAGCUGAAACUUCACUAUCGCUAGCUGCUUGCACA